AUGUAGUUAUUCCUUGCCUACACCCACAAUAAUUAUUCCUUAAAAAUUGACAAAUACACAAAAAUUUCAGCUCCCAGCUCAGCAUUUUUUGGGGGUAAAAUAGACCUUUUCCCCACACUAUAUAAGCCUCUUUAACACGGAAUUUAUGCCAUUUUAAACCAUAAUAUACUCCCUUUGCUAAAAUUCUCUCCAAAAUCAUCAAGAACAAGUUAAGGAUUUAAUUGGGGGUUUCAAGAUUGAAGCCAAUAUCACCGCUAACCUUCACGAAUCAUCAACCUAAGGUAUGCGUAGUGUUCAUCCAUGGAUCCCUUUCAUCCAUGGAGCUCAAGAAUCAUGUUUUAAAUAAUAAAUUGUGUUUACCUUGUUGUGAUACGAUUGUGUUCGUAUUGAUGGUGGUUAUUUAUGUUUCAAGAUGGUAUUUUGAUGUAUUGUCAUCAAGUAUGUGGGCUUGUUAGUUGAAACCCAUGAAUUUAGGUGGUUUAAGAUUGCUAAAUUGUCAAAUACACCUAUGCUCAAGGUGGUGCAUGUAAGGUGUUUGAUAAAAUGUCUAAAAUUUGAUAAAGAUCAUGUUUUCAUGACUUAGUAGUGCCCAAAUGACAAGUCCAUGCUAACCUUAUGAUUCAACACAAUUUCCAUGCUAUUGUUGUGUAUUGAUUGUCGUGUUAUAAAAUGUUCAUGAUGUUGAAACCAUGCAAGUAUUUACAUGUUAUAUGAGUUCCCUUCCAUGAACAAGAAUAUGAUAACCAUGUGAAGCAUGAAAUUCUCUAUUUACGGCAUUAUGAGUUAUGAACUCUAUUCCUAUGAUCAAGAAGUGUCAUGGUUGUGUCAGUUUCCUUCCAUCGAGUCCUGGGGGUACUUGAACCCGAAAAAUAUAGUUGUGUGCCCAGAGCCAUGUCAUGUUUUCACGAUAUCCGUAGUCAAGCCAUGUUCCAUAGAAUUCAGUCAUGUGACUCGGGAAAUCUCAGAAAUCCCAUGAUCUCAAUCAGUUAUCAGAUAUCAGUAGUAUUCCGUCAGUUAAUAGAAUUCAGUAAACUCAGUCCAUGUACAGUCAAUUAACCAUGUUCAGUUUCUUCAGAUGGGAGUAAAUUAGCACCGAGUGAACCCAAGGAUGGGAACACACACUGUCAGAUGAGGGUGUGAUUCUUAGCAGUCACCCUUGCAUUCCAAAACUAUGUAUCCAGCAUAGGUUGAGACAUCAACACUGUCAGAUGAGGGUCGAUAAGGUGGAUAAGCACUGUCAUGUGAGGGGCCCACCGUUCUCUUUUGGGGAUACUGUCAGAUGAGGGAUACCCACAGCUUGUCUUUACCAGUGGGGCAGUAUUGACACCCUUCCAAUCAGGGCAUAUAUUGGACCCCAGCUCAGCUAUUAUAGCGCACUUGGGGCAUGUCGUUUAAAUAACUACUUCCCAUAGUUUCAGUCUCAGUCUUCGUAAAAGAACUCAGAUAGUUCUUCAGAUUUCAGAUUAUCAGGAUUGUCAAAUAUAAUCAACUUAGUUACAGUACAAAACUCAUAUAGUUCCAUCAGAUUCAGGACUGUCAGAUAUAGUCACUCAUGUUAUCAGUUAUAUCAGUUAUCAGAACUCUAGUAUCAGUCAUGUUAGAUAUCAGUAAACCAUGUUAUCAGUAUACAGAUUCAGUUAUCACGUUUUCAUGAUCUCAGUUACUAUGCAUUCAUGUAUGCACUCUCACGUUCAUAUUAGUCAGUCAGUUAGUAUUGUUCAUGCAUAUGAACCCCAUGCAUUCAACCUACCUCAUUUUCAUACUCAGUACAUUCCAACGUACUGACGCAUUUGUGCUAUGGUGUUUUUUUUAAUUUUACACCAUAGGCUCAGAGACACGAGCUCCAGAUCAGCAGUAGCAAUAGCAUUAUAGUACCC
This 1877-nucleotide long non-coding RNA is filed under the name Capsicum annuum. Its description in RNAcentral is "long non-coding RNA (CANN_LNC007730)". The record is from RNAcentral. Lineage: Eukaryota; Viridiplantae; Streptophyta; Magnoliopsida; Solanales; Solanaceae.